Molecule: long non-coding RNA, 1422 nt
Filed under: Taeniopygia guttata (zebra finch)
Lineage: Eukaryota; Metazoa; Chordata; Aves; Passeriformes; Estrildidae
Description: lncRNA (ENSTGUG00000025378.1)
Source: RNAcentral
AUGACGUCACAGGGAUUCCCUCCGCCGCCGCCGCCGCCGCCGCCGCCGCCGCCGCCGCCGCAGCGCGGCCGCGUAUUAAUAGAAACGGGACCGGCCGCGGUUCUAGAAACGGCCCGAACCCUCCGGGACAACCGGGACAACGGGGCCGGGACACCGGGAAUGGACCGGGACACCCCGAACCCUCCGGGACAACCGGGACAACGGGGCCGGGACACCGGGAAUGGACCGGGACACCGGGAAUGGACCGGGACCCCCCGAACCCUCCGGGACAACCGGGACAAGCGGGGCCGGGACACCGGGAAUGGACCGGGACACCGGGAAUGGACCGGGACAACCGGGGCCGGGACUCCCGGGAAUGGACCGGGACACCGGGAACGGAACCCCCGGGAAUGGACCGAGACAACCGGGGCCGGGACCCCCGGGGAAUGGACCGGGACACCGGGAACGGAACCCCCGGGAAUGGACCGGGACACUGGGAGUGGACCGGGACCCCUCGAACCCUCCGGGACAACCGGGACAACCGGGGCCGGGACUCCCGGGAAUGGACCGAGACAACCGGGAAUGGACCGGGACACCGGGAAUGGACCAGGACAACCGGGGCCGGGACUCCCGGGAAUGGACCGGGACACCGGGAACGGAACCCCCGGGAAUGGACCGGGACACCGGGAAUGGACCGGGUCACCGGGAAUGGACCGGGACAACCGGGGCCGGGACCCCCGGGAAUGGACCGGGACACCGGGAAUGGACCGGGACAACCGGGGCCGGGACCCCCGGGAAUGGACCGUGACAGCGGGAACGGGACCGGGACCCCCCGAACCCUCCGGGACACCGGGAACGGGACCCCGGAAAUGGACCGGGACACCGGGAACGGGACCCCCGGGAAUGGACCGGGACACCGGGAAUGGACCGGAACCCCCCGAACCCUCCGGGACAACCGGGGCCGGGACACCGGGAAUGGACCGGGACACCGGGAAUGGACCGGGGUCCCCCGAACCCUCCGGGACAACCGGGACAACCGGGGCCGGGACACCGGGAAUGGACCGGGACACCGGGAAUGGAUCGGGACCCCCCGAACCUUCCUGGACACCGGGAACGGGACCCUCGGGAAUGGACCGGGACACCGGGAAUGGAUCGGGACCCCCCGAACCUUCCUGGACACCGGGAACGGGACCCUCGGGAAUGGAUCGGGACACCCCGAACCCUCCGGGACAACCGGGGCCGGGACCCCCGGGAAUGGACCGGGACACCGGGAAUGGACCGGGGUCCCCCGAACACCGGGAAUGGACCCGGGACCCCGAGAAUGGACCGGGUUCCCCAGGAUACCGGGAACGGGACAAGGACCCCCGAAAACCCGGCCGGGUCCUCCGGUUCCCGGUCCCGGGAACCCCCCGAGAGCCCCGAGCCCCUCCCCCACACCGGUAA